UACGUAGGGGGCAAGCGUUACUCGGAAUUACUGGGCGUAAAGCGUGCGCAGGCGGUUUGGUAAGACAGAUGUGAAAUUCCCGGGCUUAACCUGGGAACUGCAUUUGUGACUGCCAGGCUAGAGUGCGGCAGAGGGGAGUGGAAUUCCGCGUGUAGCAGUGAAAUGCGUAGAUAUGCGGAGGAACACCGAUGGCGAAGGCAACUCCCUGGGCCUGCACUGACGCUCAUGCACGAAAGCGUGGGGAGCAAACAGG
This 253-nucleotide ribosomal RNA is filed under the name uncultured bacterium. RNAcentral describes it as "partial 16S ribosomal RNA". It matches the Rfam family "Bacterial small subunit ribosomal RNA", at positions 524 to 776 of the family's 1533-position model. The record is from RNAcentral.